GGUUUUGUGGUCCCGAAACCACUUUCUGACUAGGGUCAAAUUGGGGAUGUCACAUCAACAGCAUCCUUUACCCACAAUAAUGCCCUCAUUUCGGAAUGGAAAAUCAAGGUAUCCAUUGACAACACUUUAUUAUCAAAAACCAUCUCAUUCCUUGCUAACCAAAUCGACCAACAAGAAGCUGCAAUUGCAAUCAACCACAGACCUUUACAAGAGCCAAUAAUCUUCACCUUGAAACAUAACGAAUAAAAUUCUUCAAAGUUACUUACUGCUAUCCAGCCAACGUCCGACCAGUUGAAGAUUCUCUUCCGAAACCCUGCAAUAAAAUAGCAAUUAAAAAACACAUGAUCCGCCCUCUCCAGCUCCUAUUACACCACAGACACACAUUCAAAAUGUCAUGAAUUUUCACCCCCCCUUUUAAUUAAAAAAUCCUUUGUAGGAACUCUGUCAAUGGCUAAUAGCCAAAGAAAAUUACGCACCCUUGGAGGAACUUUUAACUUUCGUAUUUUAUCGAAAGAAAAGACUGGAUCAUCCCCCUCACCUUCAAUCAGUAAUUUAGAUAAUUGCUUUACUGAAAACUCACCCUUAUUGUCGUGAUCCCAUAAAAUCCAAUCCUCCACCUCUGGGACCAGGACCACACAACUCACACUAUCAAUGAGACGAAAAAGGAUCCCCACUUCUCGAUCCAGUAGAGGUCUGAUGAAAAGUUAUUCCUAAUUAACAUUGCUAAACCCACAAUUAGACGAAUAAUCAAACACCGAAGCAUUUUUUAGUUUAGCUAAACGAAAGAGCCUAGGAAAUUCCAACUUUAAUGGGUCCUUACCACACCAUUUAUCCUCCCAAAACAAUGUUGCCUUUCCAUUCCCUAUCUUCCAGCUAAAAUAUUUAUCCCCUACCCAUCAAACCAUUCUAGCAUCCAACGAAUUCUCAACUAUCCCUCUCCAAACCUUCGACAUAUCUUUUAAUUUGUUCAUACUAAAUCUCCAUCGUUCCAUAUUAGACCCAUACUUAGCUGAGAUCACUUUGUUCUACAACGUUUUUUAUCAACCAAAAAAUGCCAUCUCCAUUUUUCUAAGAGAGCUUUGUUUUUUAUCCCAAGAUUAACCACUCCGGCUCCCCCUUUUUCUUUUGGGCAACAUAUCUGUUUCCAACUUACUUUCACCAUUUUCCAUUUUCCAUCAACCCCACCCCAUAGAAAGUUUCUUCUAAUUUUGUCUAUUCUUCUAAUUAUAGAUUCCGGAGCCUGAAAUAAGGACAUAAAGCAAAUUGGCAGAUUUGAUAAUACUGAAUUUAUCAACAUGAUUCUAGUAGCCCAUGACAUCGAUGGACUUUCUAAAACUCUCAGUUACAACCUCCCAAGUAGCCGCCCUCAUCGGAUCCGCUCCUAAAGGAAUACCUUGAUAAUUUAUAGGCAAUACCCCAAUCUUAUAUUUGCAUAUAGAUGCCAUACCAUAGAGAAAUUCCUUAUUCACAUCAAACCCCACAAUAAAAGAUCUUUUGAAAUUUAUACUUAAUCUCGAAAAAAUCUGAAAACACCAUAUAAUAAAUUUCAUAUUUUCCACCCCCUGUUCCUCUGCUUUUAAAAACAAAAUAGUAUCGUUUGCAAAUUGUAAAUACGUGAUCAUCUGACCUGGAAUAACCCCAUGAAUACCUUCUAUUAAACCCAAUGCCCUAACCUUUUCCAGUAACAAGUGAAGCACUUCCGUUACAAGAAUGGACAUGAAUGGAGAUAAGGGAUCACCUUGUCGCAACCCUCUACCUAAAUAAAAUUCGUUUGUAGCCGAACCAUUAACAAGGACAGUCGCUCUCGCCGUAAAAACACAUUCCAUUGACCAUCCAAUCCAUCUGACCCAAAAUCCCAUCUUUUGUAAAACUAAUUCUAAAAAAUCUCAUCAGACACAAUCGUAUGCCUUAGAGAAGUCUAGUUUAAAAAUCAAAUUUCCCCCAUUUCCCACUAUUUUAUCCAUCGAAUGAAUCACUUCAAUAGCAAUGAGAAUACCAUAAAAAAUUUGCCUUCCUCUAAUAAACGCACAUUGAGUCUCACUCACCAAUUCACCAAUAACCUCCCUUAACCUUUGAGAUAGAACUUUAGCAACUAUUUUAUACAGAGAACUAACCAGACAAAUUGGCUGAAAAUCAGCUAUCUCAUUCAAAUUAUCCAUUUUAGGAAUUAAUGCAAUAAACGAGCAAUUGAUGGAUCUUUCUAGCUUUCCAGUUCUAUGAAAAUCUGACAUCAUUCUAAACACAUCAUCUUUUACUGUAUUCCAGCAUUUUCUGAAAAAACACAUAUUAAACCCAUCUGGUCUAGGAGCUUUGGACUCCUCACAACUCCAUAUAGCAUCUCGAAUUUCCUCUAUUGAAAAGGAACCUCUAGUUUUUUUAGCUUUACUCUCCUUUAAUCUCUUAAAUUCUAACUCCAUUUCCAUCUUCCAACUCCUCUCAUAACCACGAAAAUGAUUUUAAAAAAAAUCAUACACUCUCUUUUUUAAUUCCUUUGGAUCAUUACACCAAGACCUCCCAAUUUUCAUUCUGUAAAUGGUUUUUCUUUUUGCUUUUGUCUUUACAGCUCAAUAGAAAAAAGAUGUAUUCGCAUCUCCUUCUUUCAACCAUAUCAUUCUUGAUUUUUUCACCAUAAUGAUUCUUUGAAUUUCAUUGCAUCCCAAACCUCCACAUUCAAUCUUUUUAGCUCCUCUAUUUCACCUUCAUUUAACACUUCUAAUCACUAAUUCCAUCUAACACCUUAAUCCUAUCUUCGCAUUCAACAAUUUUGUUUUCCAAUACAUUGCAGUUAUCCCUAUUCCAUUUCUUCAAUACCCCCUUUAAUUUUCUCAACUUCCUUGUUAAUUGCCCAUUCAAACUUCCCAUAUUAGACCAUUCUUUCUCUAUCAAGCCCGCACAUUCCUUUUUCUUAAACCACUCGUUUAUGAAUUUAAAUGGCCUAGGUCCCCAAUCAAUUUCAACAUCAGCUAGCAAAAUUGGAAUAUGAUCAGAAACUGAUCUCUUUAACCGCAGCUGCUGAAGAUCCUUAAUCUGAAUCAACCAAUGUUCUUCCACCAAGAAUCUGUCAAGCCUGUUUUUUUUUUUUGUUAUCAGGUCCAUACCAAGUAAAUUUCUUUCCCACCAAUGGCAAGUCGAUAAGCUUACAAGUUUGGAUAAAAAUAUCAAAUCCUCUAGACCCCUUCGCUGAACCCACACACCUGCUUCUUUCACUUCUGCACCGCACCACGUUAAAAUCUCCUCCCAUAAUCUAAGGACUUGCAAACUGAAUUCUCAACUCAGUUAAUACUCCCUAUAAAAUACUCUGCUCAGACACUAAGUUGGGAGCAUAAACAUUUAUUAACACCACUUCUAAAUCCUCCUUAACCCAUCUACCUUUAAUAACUAACAAUCUGCCAUCGCUCCAUUCUUUUAAAAGUAAUAAUUCAUCUUUAUUCCACAUAGUCAGCAAACCACCCGAUCUACCUCCAGCUGCUAUAAACCUAAACUCACAAUUAUCAUCCCCCAUAAUUUUCUUACAACGUCCAUAAUAACCAACACAAGUUUAGUUUCCUGUAAAAAGAAAACAUUCGCUCUAGCAAGUCUGCAAAGUCUUUUUACAGAGGCCUUUUUUACCUCCGAUCCUAAUCCCCUAAUAUUCCAAGAAAGUAUUCUCAUACCCCCUAAAACAAAGUAGGCUACACAAUAAGAAACCAAAACAGAAAUUCCAUUCAAGAAUAACUCACCCGCAUUCUGUUUCUAACACCCCUGAUUCCAUCAACCUUACCUCUAUUGGCCCUCUAAUCUCCCUAUUUCUUCAAUCACCUCUUCCUCGUCACCUCUCACACAUAGACCCAACUUCUUCCCUACUUCCCAAGUUCUUUUUGCCUCCCUUAAAAUGACCCUCCUUCAAUUGUUAAUAUUUGAAUCAGAUAGCGAUAAAUUGACUGUUGAAUCUUCACAUCUUGCUACCGCUUUCCCCUUCUCUAACUUCUCCUUUCUAUCCCUAUUUUGUUUCUCCUUUGUCAACAAUACUCUAUUUUGAAUUUCACGCAUCGACCUAAUUUUUUUUCAAAGACAUUUUCUUUCUCCUAUUUUGACUAAGUUGAACAAAUUCCUCCCCAAAAUUGAAACCGAUUACCUCAUUUUCCACACACCUAUCCCCCGAUCCAUUGCCCCCUUCAUCAGACUCAACUAGGCUACUACCACUUCUUAAAGUCAGCCUAUUUUCACCUAAAGAGCUA
RNAcentral lists this long non-coding RNA (4217 nucleotides) under Gossypium barbadense (sea-island cotton). RNAcentral describes it as "long non-coding RNA (GBAR_LNC001604)". Lineage: Eukaryota; Viridiplantae; Streptophyta; Magnoliopsida; Malvales; Malvaceae. The record is from RNAcentral.